This 253-nucleotide ribosomal RNA is filed under the name uncultured prokaryote. RNAcentral's name for it is "partial 16S ribosomal RNA". It matches the Rfam family "Bacterial small subunit ribosomal RNA", at positions 524 to 776 of the family's 1533-position model. The record is from RNAcentral.
GACAGAGGGUGCAAACGUUGUUCGGAAUUACUGGGCGUAAAGCGUGUGUAGGCGGCUUCGUAAGUCGGAUGUGAAAUUCCCGGGCUCAACCUGGGGGCUGCGUUUGAUACGUGCGGGCUUGAGUUCGGAAGAGGGUCGUGGAAUUCCCAGUGUAGGGGUGAAAUUCGUAGAUAUUGGGAAGAACACCGGUGGCGAAGACGGCGACCUGGUCCGAUACUGACGCUGAGGCGCGAAAGCGUGGGGAGCAAACAGG